Molecule: small RNA, 769 nt
Filed under: Craterellus atratus
Lineage: Eukaryota; Fungi; Basidiomycota; Agaricomycetes; Cantharellales; Hydnaceae
Description: eukaryotic LSU rRNA
Rfam family: 5.8S ribosomal RNA (bases 359-557)
Source: RNAcentral
CUUGGUCAUUUAGAGGAAGUAAAAGUCGUAACACGGUUUCCGUAGUGAACCUCCGGAAGGAUCAUUCAUUGAGCAUGGUGUUUAGGCCCUAGGGCCCACUGCACAAGCCUUAUUCUUUACUCCCAAGUGAGUCCUGAUGGGGCUCACUUGUUAGUGAUGCUGAGAUAGAUUAGGUCCCUUUGUGAUUGGCUUUCGGGUGUCUUAUCUAUCCAGCCUGGAUCACUCAUUUAUUGGUCAGGUUUGAAAGCAAAUCUACUCUUUGGAAAAAGGGGGGCUUAUAUCCUCUUUUUUGGAGUCUCAAUGGGGCUGGCAGAGGGCUCCGACAAUGUUGUCCAGUCAUGGGCUUUCAUUUCUUUACAACUUUCAGCAAUGGAUCUCUUGGUUCUCGCAUCGAUGAAGAACGCAGUGAGAUGCGAUAACUGGUGUGAAUUGCAUCCAAGUAACUCUAAUUUACGAAUAACACCAAGUGAAUCAUCGAGUCUUUGAACGCAAUUGCGCCCUCUCGGUCACUUCCAAUUGGGGGUUGACUCAUAGGGGGUACAUCUGUUCGAGGGUCAUUUGAAUCUCUCAAAGGGUGUGGUUCAUACACACUCUUUGGAUUUUGGGUCUUGCCGUGGAAUUUAUCUUGGCUCACUUGAAAGCAUUAGCAAGCUUUUAGUACUCAAGUCUUUGAUGAGGCGUCUAAUUGGUCAAGCUUAACAUCAUAAGUGACUUAAGUGGGUCUGAAGCUGCUUCAAUUGUCUUAUAGAUGGCAUGGGCUCCUCAUGUA